RNAcentral lists this ribosomal RNA (253 nucleotides) under uncultured bacterium. RNAcentral describes it as "partial 16S ribosomal RNA". It matches the Rfam family "Bacterial small subunit ribosomal RNA", at positions 524 to 776 of the family's 1533-position model. The record is from RNAcentral.
UACGUAGGGAGCAAGCGUUGUCCGGAAUCAUUGGGCGUAAAGCGCGCGUAGGUGGCUUCGUAAGUCCGUUGUGAAAGUCAAAGGCUCAACCUUUGAAAGCCGAUGGAUACUGCGGAGCUAGAGUACGGAAGAGGCGAGUGGAAUUCCUGGUGUAGCGGUGAAAUGCGCAGAUAUCAGGAGGAACACCCGUAGCGAAGGCGGCACUCUGGGCCGAUACCGACACUGAGGAGCGAAAGCGUGGGGAGCGAACAGG